ACCAGAAGAUCCUCAUAGUCUGUUGCCUUGCUUCCUGGAUUCUCAACAGUGCCCCCACACCCUCCCAUUCCUAACCAAUCCCUGACCACCUCAGCCUCCACCUCUAUGAUAGGAUAUGUCAAUCCCCAUCUAAUUUAUAGAAUAUUUUGGAGGUAACUAUAUACGACAGCAGGGGUGAUAACAUCUCCAGGCUCCUGUGAGGGACAGGAACUCUGCAGUAUGUACUUAAUAACAUGAACUGCUGAAAAGGGACCCGGGCCGGCGCUUUGGCAGAGGAGCUAGCUGGUAGAUAGAGAGUAGAGAAGGAGAACCCAGUGUUCUCAGGCGGGGGGUAAUUGAGACCAUGUGAGCCCCCCAACCCCCAUGUCCACUGGACUGGAUUAGAGAAGAAAUGGAACCUUCUCAGCCCGAGAUGACUUUCAAUUAGAUGCGCCCAGAGCAAACGUACAAGGCCAACAGAGAGGCCUCAUCAUGGAAAGUACAAGAAGAAAAGCGUAUGAUGCAGCUUUGAAGUUGAAAACCAUCGAUCUGUCCAUCCAGGAGGGAAAUCGAGCUGCUGCAUGUAAGCUUGGCAUUAACGAAUCGAUGGUGAGGCGUUGGAGACGGCAGCGUGAAGAACUGAUGCAAUGCCCAAAGACAACAAAGGCUUUCAGAGGUCAUAAGAGUAGAUGGCCCAAACUUGAAAAUGUUCUUGAGGACUGGGUUAACACACUGAGAGCAGACGGCCAAGGUGUAUCCACCGUGCAGAUUCGACUGAAAGCUAAAACAAAAUCGCCAGCGAAAUGUGUGUUGAAGGUUUUCAAGGUGGACCGUCAUCGUGUUCUCGAUUCAUGAGACAUAAAGGUUUGUCCAUCAGGCCGUGGACGACUGUCUGUCAGCAACUCCCUCCCGACUACGAGGAAAAAGUUGCAAACUUCCACAAAUUCAUUGCAACAAAAAUAGGAUUCCAUCGGACCAUGAAGUGCCUUUGACGUUCGACCUGCCUCUAACUCGAACGUUUAACAAGACAGGACUGUUAUCCAUUAUGAUGAAAACAACUAACCACAAGAGAACGCAUUUCACGUGUGUUUUGAGCUGCACCGCUUCCAGACAAAAGCUUCCACCAAUGGUGAUUUUUAAGCGGACAACUAUGCCAAAAGAAAAAUUCCUAAAAGGCAUAGUCGUUAAAGUUAAAAAAAAAAAAAGGGUGGAUGAUAGAAAGCUUAAUGACUGAAUGGCUGACGAAGUGUUACAGUAGGCGUACGGGAGCAUAUUUUUAACCGGAAAAAAAGCAUUGCUUGUUUUGGACAGUAUGAGGGCCCAUAUAACAGAUUCUGUGAAAACAGCCAUCAGGAGAUCAAACUCAAUUCCAGCUGUGAUUCCUGGAGGCACAACAAAGUUUUUGCAGCCACUGGACAUCAGUGUGAAUCGUGCUUUUAAAGUGGUACUCCGAGAUUUUGAAAGGCUGGACUGCUAUGUGAUGAGAACAGCACAACUUCAGCGGUAACUGUGUCUCGAGAUGAAAAUGACAUUGAGAGCGACACAGAGACUGAAAUGGUGUGUGACACAGACGUUUUGAGGCUCUUCAACUCAGACACUGAAGAAGACGACUUCAGUGGUUUCAGUGAACAGGAUGAGGAGGACUUUUCUGUUAUGUGUGAGCCGUUUUACUGCCAUGUUACAGGCACUGUUUGGAAACAAGCUCGCCCAUGGCACACUAGUGUGCCACGGCGCACUGGUUGGGAAUCACUGCACUCGAGGCAUGUGGCAGGGAAUCAGGCCAAUGACCUACCACAUGACUCACACUAACAGCACCGGGGUCCAAGACGGUAUCCUGCCAGACAACCUCAACAGCUUCUACGCCAGAUUUGAACAGCACAACAGAGACAUUCCCUUAAAGGCCACCUGCAAGAGGAGACUGCACUGCAGGAGAUAAACACACAGCUCCUCAGAGUCCUGAGGCAGAGCUCACAGUCAGUACGGGAACCCCGCAGGGACGCUGCCUCAGCCCUAAACUGUGCACCCCCCAUGACAAUAAAACAUUAUUAUUAAGUAUACAGACGACACAACCGUCCUCGACCUCAUUAGAGGAGGGGAUGAGUGCGUACAGGAACCUGGUUCACAGAAUCACUAUCUAUGGAAAGGACUAUUACCUUGCCCUCAAUGCUGACAAAACAAAAUAAUUUAUAGUAGAUUACAGGAGAAGAGCCCCCCCCUUGCAGCCUCUCACCACCAAUGGGACCAAUGGGAGUGAUAGCCACAAGUUCCUUGGCCUCCAUAUCACAGAGAGUCCAGUGGGUGGACUGAGACACUGAACAAUUAACCCCAAUUGGACAAUUUACACGCAAUAGAUGCAAUACUUGUAACCACGUUUGGUCAUACCAAGCACAUGGUGUUCAUAUGCUAUAUCCGUCUGACACUAU
Phyllopteryx taeniolatus (common seadragon) is the source of this 2402-nucleotide long non-coding RNA. RefSeq lists it as uncharacterized. Lineage: Eukaryota; Metazoa; Chordata; Actinopteri; Syngnathiformes; Syngnathidae. The transcript has 4 exons. The record is from RefSeq and is a predicted model, not a curated record.